CAAUAGCGUAUAUUAAAGUUGUUGCGGUUAAAAAGCUCGUAGUUGGAUUUCUGCUGAGAACGACCGGUCCGCCCUUUGGGUGUGUAUCUGGCUCUUUCUUGGCAUCUUCUUGGUGAACGUUGCUGCACUUGACUGUGUGGAGCGCUACCCAGGACUUUUACUUUGAGGAAAUUAGGGUGUUUCAAGCAGGCAUACGCCUUGAAUACAUUAGCAUGGAAUAAUAAGAUAGGACCUCGGUUCUAUUUUGUUGGUUUCUAGAGCUGAGGUAAUGAUUAAUAGGGAUAGUUGGGGGCAUUCGUAUUUAACUGUCAGAGGUGAAAUUCUUGGAUUUGUUAAAGACGGACUACCGCGAAAGCAUUUGCCAAGGAUGUUUUCAUUA
RNAcentral lists this ribosomal RNA (379 nucleotides) under uncultured eukaryote. Its description in RNAcentral is "partial 18S ribosomal RNA". It matches the Rfam family "Eukaryotic small subunit ribosomal RNA", at positions 592 to 975 of the family's 1831-position model. The record is from RNAcentral.